Molecule: long non-coding RNA, 562 nt
Filed under: Cyanistes caeruleus (blue tit)
Lineage: Eukaryota; Metazoa; Chordata; Aves; Passeriformes; Paridae
Description: lncRNA (ENSCCEG00000014095.1)
Source: RNAcentral
AUACAGCAAGAACUGAGGUUCUGAGAAAGAGGAAUGAAGACAAGAUAAAAUAUUAUUAAAUUAAAUGAACUAAAGCUGUGCUGGACAUCCUAAUCAUAACAUAAAGAGGAGCGAUGAAACAGGGGACACGAGAAUCGACAGAUGUAGAUAAAUAGCACAGUGGAGGAAGAGAGCAUGGGAAGAGCUGAAGUUAUUGUAGAAGAAGAGAGGGAAGGCAUUGUGUGCUGUAACAAUCACUGGGUGUUAGAUCCCCACAACGGAGCGAGAGACAGCCUGAAAAGGAGCACCGAAACAGGGUGGAGCAGGACUGGUGCACAGAGGGAAAAUGGGCAAGAAGUUACAGAGGAAAACAAGUUGAAUGAGUGACCUGAACGAGUCCAUGCUGAACUUCCAGUUUUAUGAGGAGCUCGUCAGGAGUACAGACAAAAUCCAUAGAAGAGAAAGGAUGCAGAGAAGCAGAAAAGCAGUAAAAACAACACAUAACAGUUACAGCUUGCUUAUGGCCUAUGCUCUUCUCUGGGAGAUUGUUUCCACUGUAAGUUUUAACCAAAUAAGUUCAUGA